GACGAACCGUACGAACGUUAUUCGGAAUCACUGGGCUUAAAGGGUGCGUAGGCGGCGCGACAAGUUGGGUGUGAAAUCCCUCGGCUCAACCGAGGAACUGCGCCCAAAACUGCUGUGCUCGAGGGAGAUAGAGGUGAGCGGAACUUAGGGUGGAGCGGUGAAAUGCGUAGAGAUCGGAAGGAACACCAGUGGCGAAGGCGGCUACCUGGCCUAAUACUGACACUGAGGCACGAAAGCGUGGGGAGCAAACAGG
This 253-nucleotide ribosomal RNA is filed under the name uncultured bacterium. RNAcentral describes it as "partial 16S ribosomal RNA". It matches the Rfam family "Bacterial small subunit ribosomal RNA", at positions 524 to 776 of the family's 1533-position model. The record is from RNAcentral.